AGACCUUACCCGACUUAGCUGAGAGGUGGUGCAUGGCCGUCGUCAGUUCGUACUGUGAAGCAUCCUGUUAAGUCAGGCAACGAGCGAGACCCACGUCCACAGUUGCCAGCAUACCCUCCGGGGUGGAUGGGUACACUGUGGAGACCGCCGCUGCUAAAGCGGAGGAAGGAGUGGGCAACGGUAGGUCAGUAUGCCCCGAAUCUCCCGGGCUACACGCGGGCUACAAUGGUUGGUACAAUGGGCAUCUACCCCGAAAGGGGAAGGAAAUCUCUUAAAGCCAAUCGUAGUUCGGAUUGAGGGCUGCAACUCGCCCUCAUGAAGCUGGAAUCCGUAGUAAUCGCGUUUCAACAGAACGCGGUGAAUACGUCCCUGCUCCUU
RNAcentral lists this ribosomal RNA (378 nucleotides) under uncultured Methanosaeta sp. Its description in RNAcentral is "bacterial SSU rRNA". It matches the Rfam family "Archaeal small subunit ribosomal RNA", at positions 963 to 1338 of the family's 1478-position model. Lineage: Archaea; Methanobacteriati; Methanobacteriota; Methanomicrobia; Methanotrichales; Methanotrichaceae. The record is from RNAcentral.